This 465-nucleotide ribosomal RNA is filed under the name uncultured Leuconostoc sp. RNAcentral's name for it is "bacterial SSU rRNA". It matches the Rfam family "Bacterial small subunit ribosomal RNA", at positions 338 to 795 of the family's 1533-position model. Lineage: Bacteria; Bacillati; Bacillota; Bacilli; Lactobacillales; Lactobacillaceae. The record is from RNAcentral.
CCUACGGGUGGCAGCAGUAGGGAAUCUUCCACAAUGGGCGAAAGCCUGAUGGAGCAACGCCGCGUGUGUGAUGAAGGCUUUCGGGUCGUAAAGCACUGUUGUAUGGGAAGAACAGCGUGAAGAGAAAAUGAUUUUAGUUUGACGUUACCAUACCAAAAAGCAACGGCUAACUACGUGCCAGCAGCCGCGGUAAUACGGAGGUCCCGAGCGUUAUCCGGAAUUAUUGGGCGUAAAGCGCGCGCAGACGGUUUAUUAAGUCUGAUGUGAAAGCCCGGAGCUCAACUCCGGAAUGGCAUUGGAAACUGGUUAACUUGAGUGCAGUAGAGGGAAGUGGAACUCCAUGUGUAGCGGUGGAAUGCGUAGAUAUAUGGAAGAGCACCAGUGGCGAAGGCGGCUUACUGGACUGCAACUGACGUUGAGGCUCGAAAGUGUGGGUAGCAAACAGGAUUAGAUACCCGUGUAGUC